GCCGGGCAUGGUGGCACAUGCCUGUAGUCCCAGAUACUCGGGAGGCUGAGGUGGGAGGAUUGCUUGAGCCUGGGAGGUCAAGACUGCAGUGAGUAAAGAUCAUGCCACUGCACUCCAGUCUGGGCAACAGAGGAAGACCCCAUCUCAA
RNAcentral lists this small RNA (148 nucleotides) under Pongo abelii (Sumatran orangutan). RNAcentral's name for it is "Metazoan signal recognition particle RNA (ENSPPYG00000032659.1)". Lineage: Eukaryota; Metazoa; Chordata; Mammalia; Primates; Hominidae. The record is from Rfam by way of RNAcentral.